Molecule: unclassified non-coding RNA, 515 nt
Filed under: uncultured Trichoderma
Lineage: Eukaryota; Fungi; Ascomycota; Sordariomycetes; Hypocreales; Hypocreaceae
Description: sequence contains ITS1, 5.8S rRNA gene, ITS2
Rfam family: 5.8S ribosomal RNA (bases 185-338)
Source: RNAcentral
CCGAGUUUACAACUCCCAAACCCAAUGUGAACCAUACCAAACUGUUGCCUCGGCGGGGUCACGCCCCGGGUGCGUCGCAGCCCCGGAACCAGGCGCCCGCCGGAGGGACCAACCAAACUCUUUCUGUAGUCCCCUCGCGGACGUUAUUUCUUACAGCUCUGAGCAAAAAUUCAAAAUGAAUCAAAACUUUCAACAACGGAUCUCUUGGUUCUGGCAUCGAUGAAGAACGCAGCGAAAUGCGAUAAGUAAUGUGAAUUGCAGAAUUCAGUGAAUCAUCGAAUCUUUGAACGCACAUUGCGCCCGCCAGUAUUCUGGCGGGCAUGCCUGUCCGAGCGUCAUUUCAACCCUCGAACCCCUCCGGGGGUCCGGCGUUGGGGAUCGGGAACCCCUAAGACGGGAUCCCGGCCCCGAAAUACAGUGGCGGUCUCGCCGCAGCCUCUCAUGCGCAGUAGUUUGCACAACUCGCACCGGGAGCGCGGCGCGUCCACGUCCGUAAAACACCCAACUUCUGAAAU